GGACAAGGUUAGCGGCGGCACGGGUGAAUAACACGUGGGUAACCUGCCUGUAAGACUGGGAUAACAUUCGGAAACGAAUGCUAAUACCGGAUACGCGGCUUGGUCGCAUGACCGAACCGGGAAAGAUGGAGCAAUCUAUCACUUAUAGAUGGACCCGCGGCGCAUUAGCUAGUUGGUGAGGUAACGGCUCACCAAGGCGACGAUGCGUAGCCGACCUGAGAGGGUGAUCGGCCACACUGGGACUGAGACACGGCCCAGACUCCUACGGGAGGCAGCAGUAGGGAAUCUUCCGCAAUGGACGAAAGUCUGACGGAGCAACGCCGCGUGAGUGAUGAAGGUUUUCGGAUCGUAAAGCUCUGUUGCCAGGGAAGAAUGCUUGGGAGAGUAACUGCUCUCAAGGUGACGGUACCUGAGAAGAAAGCCCCGGCUAACUACGUGCCAGCAGCCGCGGUAAUACGUAGGGGGCAAGCGUUGUCCGGAAUUAUUGGGCGUAAAGCGCGCGCANGCGGCCUUGUAAGUCUGUUGUUUAAAACUUGGGGCUUA
RNAcentral lists this ribosomal RNA (543 nucleotides) under uncultured bacterium. RNAcentral's name for it is "bacterial SSU rRNA". It matches the Rfam family "Bacterial small subunit ribosomal RNA", at positions 84 to 611 of the family's 1533-position model. The record is from RNAcentral.